GAUGAACGCUGGCGGCGUGCCUAAUACAUGCAAGUCGAGCGAAUGGAUUGAGAGCUUGCUCUUAUGAAGUUAGCGGCGGACGGGUGAGUAACACGUGGGUAACCUGCCCAUAAGACUGGGAUAACUCCGGGAAACCGGGGCUAUUACCGGAUAACAUUUUGAACCGCAUGGUUCGAAAUUGAAAGGCGGCUUCGGCUGUCACUUAUGGAUGGACCCGCGUCGCAUUAGCUAGUUGGUGAGGUAACGGCUAACCAAGGCAACGAUGCGUAGCCGACCUGGGAGGGUGCUCGGCCACACUGGGACGGAGACACGGCCCAGACUCCGACGGGAGGCAGCAGUAGGGAAUCUUCCGCAAUGGACGAAAGUCUGACGGAGCAACGCCGCGUGAGUGAUGAAGGCUUUCGGGUCGUAAAACUCUGUUGUUAGGGAAGAACAAGUGCUAGUUGAAUAAGCUGGCACCUUGACGGUACCUAACCAGAAAGCCACGGCUAACUACGUGCCAGCCGCCGCCGUAA
RNAcentral lists this ribosomal RNA (515 nucleotides) under uncultured bacterium. RNAcentral's name for it is "partial 16S ribosomal RNA". It matches the Rfam family "Bacterial small subunit ribosomal RNA", at positions 28 to 523 of the family's 1533-position model. The record is from RNAcentral.